This 457-nucleotide ribosomal RNA is filed under the name uncultured bacterium. RNAcentral's name for it is "bacterial SSU rRNA". It matches the Rfam family "Bacterial small subunit ribosomal RNA", at positions 339 to 796 of the family's 1533-position model. The record is from RNAcentral.
CUACGGGAGGCAGCAGUAAGGAAUAUUGCGCAAUGGGCGAAAGCCUGACGCAGCGACGCCGCGUGGGGGAUGAAGGUCUUCGGAUUGUAAACCCCUUUCGGGAGGGAAGAUGGAAUGGGGUAACCCAUUCGGACGGUACCUCCAGAAGCAGCCACGGCUAACUUCGUGCCAGCAGCCGCGGUAAUACGAAGGUGGCAAGCGUUAUUCGGAUUUACUGGGCGUACAGGGAGCGUAGGCGGUUCGGUAAGCCCUUUGUGAAAUCUUCAGGCUUAACCUGGAACAGUCGGAGGGGACUGCCGGGCUAGAGGACGGGAGAGGAGCGCGGAAUUCCCGGUGUAGCGGUGAAAUGCGUAGAGAUCGGGAGGAAGGCCGGUGGCGAAGGCGGCGCUCUGGAACGUUUCUGACGCUGAGGCUCGAAAGCGUGGGGAGCAAACAGGACUAGAUACCCCGGUAGUCC